GCGGGGCUCUGCAGGCUGCAGCGGAGCUGGCGUCCUCCUCCCUCCCCCGCCGCAGCCAGAGAGCAGCAGCUGUUGGGAUCCAGCUGCCAUUUUUCAAACCAAUUAAGGAGCCCUGUUACUGCCCCCGGGAGGGAGUGUGUCUGUGUCUUCUGAGUCAGCAGCUCGGACCGGGGCCUCUGGGGACAGCUCGCAAGGCCCUAAUCGUCCCCUCAGAGUUAAAAAUAACAAGUAGCAAGCCACUACUCUUGACUUUACACUGCCGCAGGGGGCGGAGGUCGGGGGUGUCUCUUGCCACAGAGGUUUACCAUCCGAGGCGCCAGAGAGCGGCAGCCCGCUGGCAGCACGUUUUUCUUCCCAUUCGCGCUCUCCUGCUUCAGGUCCCCGUCCUGAAGUCAUCCAUCAGCUGUCCCACUUGCCAGAACCUUCAUCACAGCCCCCGGAGACCUUACCUCUGCUUUGCUCGACCACCUGAUAGCCAGUCCACAGGGUCCGCCCGCCCCACCUCCUCUCCCGUCUGUUUACUCCAUCAACUCAGCCUUUCUGGAUUCAGGGCCUUUGGCCACGAAACAACCCAGGUGGCUACAAACAGAGCCAACAUGGGGGCAGCUCCAAACCCUGAAGGUCUGAGGAGGCGGGAAGUGUCCCUGGCUUGUUGUCAUGGAAACCACAAUAGAGGCUUGCCUCCUGACCAACCCUGGUGCUUCCCCGUGUGCCCCACCCCCCCCAUGGCAUGGCACGCCCCCUCCUCUCGGGAGCUGUGAUUAUAAAACAUGUUUUCAAUA
This is a long non-coding RNA of Lagenorhynchus albirostris (white-beaked dolphin), 782 nucleotides long. RefSeq lists it as uncharacterized. The record is from RefSeq and is a predicted model, not a curated record. The transcript is spliced from 3 exons. Lineage: Eukaryota; Metazoa; Chordata; Mammalia; Artiodactyla; Delphinidae.